GAAAUUGUCGGGGUGGAGGAAGUAAAAGCCUAAACUAAAACCUCCAUAAAAUUCGAGGGAAUAUAAUUAGGGUUUUCAGUAUAAAACCAGCUGGGUCUGCAUCUUCACUCUCUACUUCGCAACUUCAGAUCUUCUUCGUCGUCUGAAUCAAGUUUUGACUUCAUUUGAAGAGUUUCUGAAUUGCCAUUCCUUCCAAAAUGAGCCGGCCAAUGGAGGAAGAUACUGCAGCUAAGAAAUGAGGAAGAGGAGUUCCAACACUGGACCACUAUCUGUACUGAUGAUGAGUGUUAAAAAUAAUACCAGGUAUUGAUAAAUUGUCGGAACAACAAAAAGCUUCUGGGUCGUGUUAGAGCUUUUUGAUAGGCAACUGCAACAUGGUUCUUGACAAUGUCAGGGAGAUGUGGACCGAGGUAUGGUUUUUCUUUUAUAUUCACUUCCCUUGCAUUUGUUUCACAGCUUAAUGAAUCUGUGCGGACAAUCGGUCCCAAGACUGGAAAAGGAAAGAAAAAGGCCCAUCCAGUGAACAAGGAUAGAUUCAUCAGCAAAAAUGUUCCCCGUGGAGAUUCCGUCAUCAUGUUCUUAGGACCCUAAAUGAGAUUGUGUAAUCAUUCUUGUAGAAUGGCUCUGUAGUAUUUGCCUUUGGUUAUCUUUGAAAUUCUUGACAACCUUAUAUGUAACAUCGCUGGCCUAACCUUUAAUUUUUUAGACAUUGACAGAGGAUGUAGUUGGUAUUUUGAUGAGGGCGCCCCAGAACAAUUUUACCAAUAUGCGGAUCUAUUAUGUACCUAUUGACGUGUACAUCUAAUGCUUUGUAUUGUAUGGGAUAGUUUUAAAAUGUAUAGUUCGUUUUUUGUUC
This is a non-coding RNA of Vigna umbellata (rice bean), 856 nucleotides long. The record is from RefSeq and is a predicted model, not a curated record. NCBI's taxonomy places the organism in Eukaryota, Viridiplantae, Streptophyta, Magnoliopsida, Fabales, Fabaceae.